RNAcentral lists this ribosomal RNA (391 nucleotides) under Clostridium perfringens. Its description in RNAcentral is "bacterial SSU rRNA". It matches the Rfam family "Bacterial small subunit ribosomal RNA", at positions 384 to 793 of the family's 1533-position model. The record is from RNAcentral. Lineage: Bacteria; Bacillati; Bacillota; Clostridia; Eubacteriales; Clostridiaceae.
UGAUGCAGCACGCCGCGUGAGUGAUGAAGGUUUUCGGAUCGUAAAGCUCUGUCUUUGGGGAAGAUAAUGACGGUACCCAAGGAGGAAGCCACGGCUAACUACGUGCCAGCAGCCGCGGUAAUACGUAGGUGGCGAGCGUUAUCCGGAUUUACUGGGCGUAAAGGGAGCGUAGGCGGAUGAUUAAGUGGGAUGUGAAAUACCCGGGCUCAACUUGGGUGCUGCAUUCCAAACUGGUUAUCUAGAGUGCAGGAGAGGAGAGUGGAAUUCCUAGUGUAGCGGUGAAAUGCGUAGAGAUUAGGAAGAACACCAGUGGCGAAGGCGACUCUCUGGACUGUAACUGACGCUGAGGCUCGAAAGCGUGGGGAGCAAACAGGAUUAGAAACCCCGGUAG